RNAcentral lists this ribosomal RNA (496 nucleotides) under uncultured bacterium. RNAcentral's name for it is "partial 16S ribosomal RNA". It matches the Rfam family "Bacterial small subunit ribosomal RNA", at positions 28 to 506 of the family's 1533-position model. The record is from RNAcentral.
GAUGAACGCUGGCGGCGUGCCUAAUACAUGCAAGUCGAGCGAACAGACGAGGAGCUUGCUCCUCUGACGUUAGCGGCGGACGGGUGAGUAACACGUGGAUAACCUACCUAUAAGACUGGGAUAACUUCGGGAAACCGGAGCUAAUACCGGAUAAUAUAUUGAACCGCAUGGUUCAAUAGUGAAAGACGGUUUUGCUGUCACUUAUAGAUGGAUCCGCGCCGCAUUAGCUAGUUGGUAAGGUAACGGCUUACCAAGGCAACGAUGCGUAGCCGACCUGAGAGGGUGAUCGGCCACACUGGAACUGAGACACGGUCCAGACUCCUACGGGAGGCAGCAGUGGGGAAUCUUCCGCAAUGGGCGAAAGCCUGACGGAGCAACGCCGCGUGAGUGAUGAAGGUCUUCGGAUCGUAAAACUCUGUUAUUAGGGAAGAACAAAUGUGUAAGUAACUAUGCACGUCUUGACGGUACCUAAUCAGAAGACCACGGCUAACUACGU